Molecule: ribosomal RNA, 263 nt
Filed under: uncultured bacterium
Lineage: Bacteria
Description: partial 16S ribosomal RNA
Rfam family: Bacterial small subunit ribosomal RNA
Source: RNAcentral
GUCCUAGCUGUAAACGAUGAUCACUGGGUGUGGGGGUCGAACCUCCGUGCCGAAGUUAAUGCGAUAAGUGAUCCGCCUGGGGAGUACGUUCGCAAGAAUGAAACUCAAAGGAAUUGACGGGGACCCGCACAAGCGGUGGAGCAUGUGGUUUAAUUCGACGCAACGCGAGGAACCUUACCAGUUCUUGACAUCCUACAAACUUUCUGGAGACAGAUUGGUGCCCUUUCGGGGGAAUGUAGUGACAGGUGGUGCAUGGCUGUCGU